This 392-nucleotide ribosomal RNA is filed under the name Lygodactylus petteri. RNAcentral describes it as "Lygodactylus madagascariensis petteri partial large subunit ribosomal RNA". It matches the Rfam family "Bacterial large subunit ribosomal RNA", at positions 2024 to 2599 of the family's 2925-position model. Lineage: Eukaryota; Metazoa; Chordata; Lepidosauria; Squamata; Gekkonidae. The record is from RNAcentral.
UGCGACCAAUCAAUGAACUUGAUCCUUCAGUACAAAAGCUGAAAUAUACACAUAAGACGAAAAGACCCUAUGGAGCUUUAAACCACUAUACUACUAAAACUAACCAAAACCGUGUCCCCUAGUAUAAGCUUUCAGUUGGGGCAACUACGGAGCAAAACAAAAACUCCACGACAAACGCCUAACACGCGCAAACCCCAGGCCGCCAAGCCGAACAUAUCUCGCCCAGAUCCAGUCCGACUGAGCAACGAACCAAGUUACCCUAGGGAUAACAGCGCCAUCUUCCCCCAAGAGCCCAUAUCCACGGGGAGGCUUACGACCUCGAUGUUGGAUCAGGACCCCCCGGCGGUGCAGCCGCUGCCAAAGGUUCGUUUGUUCAACGACUAACGUCCUAC